GCAAGUCGAACGGUAACAGGCCGCUGUGAUCUCUUCGGAGUGAACUUGGCGCUGACGAGUGGCGGACGGGUGAGUAAUACAUAGGAAUCUACCCAAUAGUGGGGGAUAACUUGGAGAAAUCCAUGCUAAUACCGCAUAUGUCCUACGGGGCAAAGCAGGGGACCCUCGGGCCUCGCACUAUUGGAUGAGCCUAUGUCAGAUUAGCUUGUUGGUGGGGUAAUGGCCUACCAAGUCUACGAUCUUUAGCUGGUUUGAGAGGAUGAUC
RNAcentral lists this ribosomal RNA (265 nucleotides) under uncultured bacterium. RNAcentral describes it as "partial 16S ribosomal RNA". It matches the Rfam family "Bacterial small subunit ribosomal RNA", at positions 57 to 305 of the family's 1533-position model. The record is from RNAcentral.